Molecule: ribosomal RNA, 47 nt
Filed under: Lespedeza fordii
Lineage: Eukaryota; Viridiplantae; Streptophyta; Magnoliopsida; Fabales; Fabaceae
Description: partial 18S ribosomal RNA
Source: RNAcentral
AGAAGUCGUAACAAGGUUCCGUAGGUGAACGUGUGGAAGGAUCAUUG